CCGAGAGUGGGGCUCCGGCCCCGGGGGGGGCAAACCGCCCCCGACUCUUCACCCAUUGCGGACAUUAACCCUGUUGCUUUGGCGAGCCCCCGGGGGAACUCCCUGGGCUCAUCGCCAAUGGCCCAUGUAAAACGCUGUUUGGUGCAGUCGGAAUCCAGAUACACAAUCGUUUUUAAAACUUUCAACAACGGAUCUCUUGGCUCUGGCAUCGAUGAAGAACGCAGCGAAAUGCGAUAAGUAAUGUGAAUUGCAGAAUUCAGUGAAUCAUCGAAUCUUUGAACGCACAUUGCGCCCUUUGGUAUUCCGAGGGGCAUACCUGUUCGAGCGUCGUUGGCUCCCCUCAAGCUUGGCUUGGUCAUGGGCGUGCGUUCCUUCCGGGACGGGCCCGAAAAGCAGUGGCGGUUCGACCCGGGCUGCGAGCGUAGUAGUGAUUUCAUCCGCUCCGCCAGCCGCAGGUCGCGCUCGCCAGGCAACCUGACAUAUUUGUAUCGGUUGACCUCGGAUCA
Molecule: ribosomal RNA, 506 nt
Filed under: Staurolemma omphalarioides
Lineage: Eukaryota; Fungi; Ascomycota; Lecanoromycetes; Peltigerales; Collemataceae
Description: eukaryotic LSU rRNA
Rfam family: 5.8S ribosomal RNA (bases 177-330)
Source: RNAcentral